CGCUGAGUGGUGGAAUACGGUAUACACGACGGUCUUAAAAACCGUUGCUCGAUCAAGAGCAUGAGGGUUCAAAUCCCUUCUCAGCGACCA
RNAcentral lists this transfer RNA (90 nucleotides) under Chloroflexota bacterium. RNAcentral's name for it is "Chloroflexi bacterium (groundwater metagenome) tRNA-Leu". It matches the Rfam family "tRNA". From Rfam's summary of the family: Transfer RNA (tRNA) molecules are approximately 80 nucleotides in length. Lineage: Bacteria; Bacillati; Chloroflexota. The record is from RNAcentral.